AUGAAUUUUUAUAAGUAACAACUUCUUUAAUUCAUUCAGAUCUUUCGAAUUGGAUAGUCUGUGAUUCAAAAUUAUGCUUUGAUAUAGUCAAUGAUAAAUCUUUAAGUUUUACAAAGAUUAAUGUUUAAGACUGUUUACCUGAUUCCUACAGCAAAAAAGAACUUUAAAAUGCUGUUGGCAAUAAUCUAAAGCCCACACCUAAUCUAAAAGAAGGUGAAUGACGUCAAGUGUUUGAACAGUCGAUUCUUUGAAAUUAACAAGUGGUUCAUCCACUUUACACAAGUUUAAAAAAAUUAUAAUUUAUAAAACAUAGGAAACAUAUAUUAUUAAAAAGUUUACGCAAA
This is a long non-coding RNA of Hydra vulgaris (swiftwater hydra), 344 nucleotides long. RefSeq lists it as uncharacterized. NCBI's taxonomy places the organism in Eukaryota, Metazoa, Cnidaria, Hydrozoa, Anthoathecata, Hydridae. The record is from RefSeq and is a predicted model, not a curated record.